This 301-nucleotide ribosomal RNA is filed under the name uncultured bacterium. RNAcentral's name for it is "partial 16S ribosomal RNA". It matches the Rfam family "Bacterial small subunit ribosomal RNA", at positions 509 to 807 of the family's 1533-position model. The record is from RNAcentral.
CAGCCGCCGCGGUAAUACGUAGGUGGCAAGCGUUGUCCGGAAUUAUUGGGCGUAAAGCGCGCGCAGGCGGUUUAAUAAGUCUGAUGUGAAAGCCCACGGCUCAACCGUGGAGGGUCAUUGGAAACUGUUAGACUUGAGUGCAGGAGAGAAAAGUGGAAUUCCUAGUGUAGCGGUGAAAUGUGUAGAGAUUAGGAGGAACACCAGUGGCGAAGGCGGCUUUUUGGCCUGUAACUGACACUGAGGCGCGAAAGCGUGGGGAGCAAACAGGAUUAGAUACCCGUGUAGUCCCUGUCUCUUAUAC